AAACAUGCAAGUCGAGCGGGGAAGAUGUAGCUUGCUACAUUNCCUAGCGGCGGACGGGUGAGUAAUGCUUAGGAAUCUGCCUAUUAGUGGGGGACAACAUUCCGAAAGGAAUGCUAAUACCGCAUACGCCCUACGGGGGAAAGCAGGGGAUCUUCGGACCUUGCGCUAAUAGAUGAGCCUAAGUCAGAUUAGCUAGUUGGUGGGGUAAAGGCCUACCAAGGCGACGAUCUGUAGCGGGUCUGAGAGGAUGAUCCGCCACACUGGGACUGANACACGGCCCANACUCCUACGGGAGGCANCNGUGGGGAAUAUUGGACAAUGGGCGCAAGCCUGAUCCAGCCAUGCCGCGUGUGUGAAGAAGGCCUUUUGGUUGUAAAG
RNAcentral lists this ribosomal RNA (378 nucleotides) under Acinetobacter sp. STEP_sed_309. RNAcentral describes it as "bacterial SSU rRNA". It matches the Rfam family "Bacterial small subunit ribosomal RNA", at positions 51 to 430 of the family's 1533-position model. The record is from RNAcentral. Lineage: Bacteria; Pseudomonadati; Pseudomonadota; Gammaproteobacteria; Moraxellales; Moraxellaceae.